AGUCGAGCGGGGGAAGGUAGCUUGCUACUGGACCUAGCGGCGGACGGGUGAGUAAUGCUUAGGAAUCUGCCUAUUAGUGGGGGACAACAUCUCGAAAGGGAUGCUAAUACCGCAUACGUCCUACGGGAGAAAGCAGGGGAUCUUCGGACCUUGCGCUAAUAGAUGAGCCUAAGUCGGAUUAGCUAGUUGGUGGGGUAAAGGCCUACCAAGGCGACGAUCUGUAGCGGGUCUGAGAGGAUGAUCCGCCACACUGGGACUGAGACACGGCCCAGACUCCUACGGGAGGCAGCAGUGGGGAAUAUUGGACAAUGGGGGGAACCCUGAUCCAGCCAUGCCGCGUGUGUGAAGAAGGCCUUAUGGUUGUAAAGCACUUUAAGCGAGGAGGAGGCUACUUUAGUUAAUACCUAGAGAUAGUGGACGUUACUCGCAGAAUAAGCACCGGCUAACUCUGUGCCAGCAGCCGCGGUAAUACAGAGGGUGCGAGCGUUAAUCGGAUUUACUGGGCGUAAAGCGUGCGUAGGCGGCUUAUUAAGUCGGAUGUGAAAUCCCCGAGCUUAACUUGGGAAUUGCAUUCGAUACUGGUGAGCUAGAGUAUGGGAGAGGAUGGUAGAAUUCCAGGUGUAGCGGUGAAAUGCGUAGAGAUCUGGAGGAAUACCGAUGGCGAAGGCAGCCAUCUGGCCUAAUACUGACGCUGACGUACGAAAGCAUGGGGAGCAAACAGGAUUAGAUACCCUGGUAGUCCAUGCCG
RNAcentral lists this ribosomal RNA (748 nucleotides) under Acinetobacter baumannii. Its description in RNAcentral is "bacterial SSU rRNA". It matches the Rfam family "Bacterial small subunit ribosomal RNA", at positions 60 to 802 of the family's 1533-position model. Lineage: Bacteria; Pseudomonadati; Pseudomonadota; Gammaproteobacteria; Moraxellales; Moraxellaceae. The record is from RNAcentral.